RNAcentral lists this ribosomal RNA (495 nucleotides) under Microhyla butleri. Its description in RNAcentral is "partial large subunit ribosomal RNA". It matches the Rfam family "Bacterial large subunit ribosomal RNA", at positions 1952 to 2616 of the family's 2925-position model. The record is from RNAcentral. Lineage: Eukaryota; Metazoa; Chordata; Amphibia; Anura; Microhylidae.
AAAGGUAGCGCAAUCACUUGUUCUUUAAAUGAGGACUAGUAUGAACGGCAUCACGAGGGUUACACUGUCUCCCCGCUCUACUCAGUGAAACUGAUCCCCCCGUGAAGAAGCGGGGAUAAAAAUAUAAGACGAGAAGACCCCAUGGAGCUUAAAACUCAGUCCUACCUGCCACCUAAAAAACCUAGAAACCACGCAGUACUAAUGACUAGUUUUCGGUUGGGGUGACCGCGGAGAAAAACAAAUCCUCCACGACGAAGGGACCUACUCACCUAAUCCAAGAGUUACACCUCUAAGAAUCAACACAUUGACCAACUGAUCCAAUUUUUUGAUCAACGGACCAAGUUACCCUGGGGAUAACAGCGCAAUCCAUUUCAAGAGCUCAUAUCGACAAAUGGGUUUACGACCUCGAUGUUGGAUCAGGGUAUCCAAGUGGCGCAGCCGCUACUAACGGUUCGUUUGUUCAACGAUUAAAACCCUACGUGAUCUGAUUCAGAC